CUUCCUUUCAAAACUCAUUAGUGGCAUUUAUCCUCAUUUGAAUGAGAAGAAGCCACAAAGAUUUCAACUGGAGGUUCACUCAGCAGGCCCCAGCAAUUCCCACCAAGCCUUCACACACCAUCAAUCAUUCUCUUUCAUAUGGCUUUGAAUUGGAAAAUUCUUUUCUAUUCCCAUGUCACGGGCUACUCCAGGAGCUUAGCAACUCGAGUGGUUGCCCUGGAAGAGGACUCCACCCUCCCUAACUAAGAGUUAUGCAACACUGGUUCUCAAAAAGUGAGAGAUUUCUAACAAUGCACACAAGAAAGAUUUCUUUCAGUCUAAGUUGCUAGUGGAUGAAAACCUGCCUGGUGUGUUCUUUGGUGGUGAUUAAUAAAUUCUCAGAAGCAAUGCUUCUAAGGAAAAUAAAUUUUAGGUAAGCAGCUAAACAAACAAAUAUCAGAGGAAAAGGCUGUGGGGAGGCAGAGGGACCACGAGCAUCUGCCAGCUCAGGAAAACAACUCUCCUAAACCAGAAUGUGCUGAGGAAGCUGUAUGCACAUCCAAGUCUCUUAACGUAUAAAAUGCCUCAUAUUUCUACAUCCCAG
Molecule: long non-coding RNA, 583 nt
Organism: Gallus gallus (chicken)
Lineage: Eukaryota; Metazoa; Chordata; Aves; Galliformes; Phasianidae
Source: Ensembl